AGAGGGUGAGACUCCCGUCCGCCUGGUAGAGUGAGCCAUUUGUCAACGAGGUCGAGUUGUUUGGGAUUGCAGCUCUAAUCUGGUGGUAAAUUCCAUCUAAAGCUAAAUAUUGGUGGGAGACCGAUAGCGUACAAGUACCGUGAGGGGAAGAUGCAAAGAACUUUGAAAAGAGAGUUAAAGAGUACCUGAAAUUGCUGAAACGGAAGCGAAGGAAACCAGUGUUUGUUUAGUUCUAUAUUUCCCUGGCCACUUGUGGUUUGGGCGCUGUGGGGCUUGGCGUGGGUUUACUUUGGUUGAUCCCUUUGGAAGAGGCGCAGUCAGACGUUGAUGUCU
Molecule: ribosomal RNA, 333 nt
Filed under: Pseudo-nitzschia hasleana
Lineage: Eukaryota; Bacillariophyta; Bacillariophyceae; Bacillariales; Bacillariaceae
Description: LSU rRNA
Rfam family: Eukaryotic large subunit ribosomal RNA
Source: RNAcentral